Long non-coding RNA from Thalassophryne amazonica, 106 nucleotides. RefSeq lists it as uncharacterized. The record is from RefSeq and is a predicted model, not a curated record. Lineage: Eukaryota; Metazoa; Chordata; Actinopteri; Batrachoidiformes; Batrachoididae. The transcript is spliced from 3 exons.
CAACUUUGACAGAAAGUCAUUCCGGUGGUACCCAAGGAGCCUUCAAAGAGACCUAGUAUCAAAGACAUUCAGUCAUCACCUUAGGCCACUGGUAAGUGUCCAAUUA